UCAUUUAACUUCGUCGUCGCCGUUUCAUUUUGCCUUGACUCUUAAAUUGUAAAUGUUUGUCUCGUGUAUGUAUCCUCGUCUUGACCGCUGAGUGAGGUAUUAUGAGCAUACUGAAACGUCGGUUGGUUUUAUCCAACUGUCCGAAAUUGCAACUUGUUUGCGGGGUCGCCUCGGACAAACAUUUUCGGGCUGUGGUUGGCAGCUUCGCAAAUACGAGUAUACCAGUGUCCGCAGCAAAUAAUACAAGCAACCCUGUCCUUUCAAUAAACGCCAGCUAGAGUUACUUCGUUACACACUAAGCUUUAUAGGUUAAUCGAAUAUUAAAAAUAAACAGAUAGAAGAAUUUUAUAUCAUUCCACAAAUAAUUUAAUCAGUUAAUGUUCCUGAACAUCUGGUGAAAUCAGGAUUAACUUAUUGUUUGGACCAAUUCAACUGUUACGAAUAAAUUCCAGAGAUGAGAAGCAGUCUGGAAAACAAGAAAACUCGAAAAAAAAUGCAGAAAAAACUAAUGGUGCGUAGGUAAACACAAAUUGAUAGCAUGCAGACAGACGUACUUGAAUGAAUUUUAAAAUCAUUACAGUUCUAUUUUUGUAUAUAAAUUCGCGCAUAUUUCAAUAUUUCUGUAAGAAUGAUAACAUAAUUAAUUAUUUUUCAGAAAAAAAAUUAUUCAUUCAUGAAUUUGUUUUAUUUUUCAUUGUUCUGUGUGUUUUCUUUAUUUGUUUGACGAUGAAUAAAUAUACUUACACAUUUUAAUGAAAA
This is a long non-coding RNA of Dalotia coriaria, 759 nucleotides long. RefSeq lists it as uncharacterized. Lineage: Eukaryota; Metazoa; Arthropoda; Insecta; Coleoptera; Staphylinidae. The transcript is spliced from 2 exons. The record is from RefSeq and is a predicted model, not a curated record.